UGAAACAAUACAAAACUAUAAGAAGCCAAAGU
Molecule: non-coding RNA, 32 nt
Filed under: Mus musculus (house mouse)
Lineage: Eukaryota; Metazoa; Chordata; Mammalia; Rodentia; Muridae
Source: RNAcentral